RNAcentral lists this long non-coding RNA (1225 nucleotides) under Vulpes vulpes (red fox). RNAcentral's name for it is "lncRNA (ENSVVUG00000027604.1)". Lineage: Eukaryota; Metazoa; Chordata; Mammalia; Carnivora; Canidae. The record is from RNAcentral.
CGGAUAGUACAUGUCUCAGUGUGGAGGGGGUGAACGAGACCACGUAUAUUAAGUGUUUUGCAUGUGGCUGGCACAUAGUGGACGUUAAUAACUAUUAGGAUCAUAUAGUGUAUUAAUGUCUGGAACAUACAGGCAGCCCGCACGUGACAUUCUGUUAAGUAUUAUUUUUAAUCAGAAACUUUUUGAAUUUAUUUUGACAAAGAUGAUAUCUGUUCAUUUUAGGCUGGGAAAGUGCCUUGUAUUCAGCCAGUCCAGUCCUCUAACUUUACAGACCAAGACUUCAGGAGGCAGAGUUUGAGGCAGAGGCCGUCUUCUGUCUUCUAAAUCCGUGGGGAUGGCGGAGAAGGAGAGAGGAAACAACGUGUGAAGAUUCUAAACAUCCAUGAAUGAUCAUCAAGAGUGACAAGUUGAUGUCUUUGGAUCGACCACCCCAGUUCCACGUGCUUUACAGCCUGGCAGCUGGUCAGGAAGCUCCAGUGAUCUGUGGGGCUAAUGCUGUCCCUCUAACAAGGCCCUAUCAGGUAAAAAAACAGAAGUCACAAAGGAAUCCACUGGAAGAUUUGAAGAGAAACUACAAAGGACUUCAUUAAUAUAAAAGGGAAGAUUAGUCAGAGAACAAAAGAAUAAGGAAGGAGGCAGGGAAUGGAGAGAGGGAAGGAAUUAUAAUAAUGUAAGACAGGGAGACUGGUGGGUGAAAACUAGGGAGGAAUUAAAACAAAGACUCCGAGACUUUCUAGAUCCACAAGAUCUUCCUGCAUAUCCCUCCUUUGUGACAAGAUGAAGACAAAGUGUGAGUGACAGGGAAAUUCUAGUUUUAGAUGUAAAUUUAUAAAAAGUAACAACAAUUAAAUUUCUCCUGAGGUCUGGGUUAGCCAAGCCAAAAGCACAGCAUUAGAGUUGAUUUGGGAGAUUUGAUAGUACUUUCUCUUCUGCUUUCUUAACUUAUAUUCACUAGUAAAGGUCUGAAACUACCUUUGUGAACUCUCAUUCUGCUUUCAUUAGACAGUGGAGUUUAUAUUAUCUACAAAAAGUUGAUAAAAAGCUCCGGAAGGGAGUGCAGGUGUAUCCAAUGGCUAUUUGUUUUCUUAGGGACUUUAAAAAUACAGCUGUCCUUGGGGCACCUGGGUGGCUCAGUCAGUUAAGCAUCUGCCUUUGGCUGGGGUCAUGAUCCCGGGGUCCUGGGAUCGAGCCCCAUGUUGGGUCCCUGCCCAGCAGGGAAUCUGCA